CUCUAGAAAUACUGAACAAACAAAGAGUGCUGCAGAAUUGUGGCUUCAGGCUUACACAGAAAUGGUGCUGGUCCAUUGAGUUCAUGGUAGCAAGGGCCGCUUGUUACCGUAGGCGCUGCUUCGGAAAUAUUUGGUAGCAAAUCUACAUAUUGUAGAGUUGACUCUGGAGGCAACGGAGAUGCCAUUAACUCAUCAAGAGAAAAGAAGUUUCUGCGAACUUCAAAACCGGAUAUCCUAGAGGCCCUUUCUAGAAUUGAUGAAGGCAUUUGCGCUGAUGAGGACUGCUUG
This is a long non-coding RNA of Pantherophis guttatus, 288 nucleotides long. RefSeq lists it as uncharacterized. The record is from RefSeq and is a predicted model, not a curated record. Lineage: Eukaryota; Metazoa; Chordata; Lepidosauria; Squamata; Colubridae.